AACGGCGAGUGAAGCGGCAACAGCUCAAAUUUGAAAUCUGGCGUCUUUGGCGUCCGAGUUGUAAUUUGCAGAGGGCGCUUUGGCAUUGGCAGCGGUCCAAGUUCCUUGGAACAGGACGUCACAGAGGGUGAGAAUCCCGUACGUGGUCGCUAGCCUUUACCGUGUAAAGCCCCUUCGACGAGUCGAGUUGUUUGGGAAUGCAGCUCUAAAUGGGAGGUAAAUUUCUUCUAAAGCUAAAUACUGGCCAGAGACCGAUAGCGCACAAGUAGAGUGAUCGAAAGAUGAAAAGCACUUUGGAAAGAGAGUUAAAAAGCACGUGAAAUUGUUGAAAGGGAAGCGCUUGCAGCCAGACUUGCCUGUAGUUGCUCAUCCGGGUUUCUACCCGGUGCACUCUUCUAUAGGCAGGCCAGCAUCAGUUUGGGCGGUUGGAUAAAGGUCUCUGUCAUGUACCUCCUUUCGGGGAGAACUUAUAGGGGAGACGACAUGCAACCAGCCUGGACUGAGGUCCGCGCAUCUGCUAGGAUGCUGGCGUAAUGGCUGUAAGCGGCCCGUCUUGAAACACGGACCAAGGAGUCUAACAUCUAUGCGAGUGUUUGGGUGUCAAGCCCGAGCGCGUAAUGAAAGUGAACGGAGGUGGGAACCUUUCGGGGUGCACCAUCGACCGAUCCUGAUGUCUUCGGAUGGAUUUGAGUAAGAGCAUAGCUGUUGGGACCCGAAAGAUGGUGAACUAUGCUUGAAUAGGGUGAAGCCAGAGGAAACUCUGGUGGAGGCUCGCAGCGGUUCUGACGUGCAAAUCGAUCG
Molecule: ribosomal RNA, 801 nt
Filed under: Nothophoma quercina
Lineage: Eukaryota; Fungi; Ascomycota; Dothideomycetes; Pleosporales; Didymellaceae
Description: eukaryotic LSU rRNA
Rfam family: Eukaryotic large subunit ribosomal RNA
Source: RNAcentral